CCCGCCACGCCUCUUAACAAUGCGGACCUCGGCGGGU
Legionella israelensis is the source of this 37-nucleotide small RNA. It matches the Rfam family "abiF RNA". The record is from Rfam. Lineage: Bacteria; Pseudomonadati; Pseudomonadota; Gammaproteobacteria; Legionellales; Legionellaceae.